Molecule: ribosomal RNA, 253 nt
Filed under: uncultured bacterium
Lineage: Bacteria
Description: partial 16S ribosomal RNA
Rfam family: Bacterial small subunit ribosomal RNA
Source: RNAcentral
UACGAAGGGAGCUAGCGUUGUUCGGAUUUACUGGGCGUAAAGCGCGCGCAGGCGGAUGUGCAAGUCGGAAGUGAAAUCCCGGGGCUCAACUCCGGGGCUGCUCCCGAAACGGCACGUCUAGGGACCGGUAGAGGCUGGUAGAAUUCCCGGUGUAGCGGUGGAAUGCGUAGAGAUCGGGAAGAAUACCCGUGGCGAAGGCGGCCAGCUGGGCCGGAUCCGACGCUGAGGCGCGAAAGCGUGGGGAGCAAACAGG